Molecule: non-coding RNA, 1628 nt
Filed under: Eucalyptus grandis
Lineage: Eukaryota; Viridiplantae; Streptophyta; Magnoliopsida; Myrtales; Myrtaceae
Description: Eukaryotic small subunit ribosomal RNA
Rfam family: Eukaryotic small subunit ribosomal RNA
Source: Rfam by way of RNAcentral
CUGGUUGAUCCUACUGGUAGUCAUAUGCUUGUCUCAAAGAUUAAGCCAUACAUUUGUAAGUAUGAACUGAUUCAGACUAUAAAACUGCAAAUAGCUCAUUAAAUCAGUUAUAAUUUGUUUGAUCAUAUUUGCUACUCGGAUAAUCGUAGUAAUUCUAAAGCUAAUACAUGCAACAAACCCUCACUUUUGUGAGGGAUGCAUUUAUUAGAUAAAAGGUCGAUGCGGGCUUUGCCCAUUGUUCUGAUGAUUCAUGAUAACUUGACGGAUCGCAUGGCCAUCGUGCCAACCCUCACUUUUGUGAGGGAUGCAUUUAUUAGAUAAAAGGUUGAUGCGGGCUUUGCCCAUUGUUCUAAUGAUUCAUGAUAACUUGAUGGAUCGCAUGGCCAUCGUGCCAAUGAUGCAUCAUUUAAAUUUCUGCCCUAUCAAAUUUCGAUGGUAGGAUAGUGGCCUAUUAUGAAGGUGAUGGGUGAUGGAGAAUUAGGGUUUGAUUCCGGAGAGGGAGCCUGAGAAAUAGCUACGACAUCCAAGGAAGGUAGCAGGCGCGCAAAUUACCCAAUCCUGACACAGGGAGGUAAUGAUAAUAAAUAACAAUACCAGGCUCAUUGAGUUUGGUAAUUGAAAUGAUUAUGAUAUAAAUCCCUUAACGAGGAUCCAUUGGAGGGCAAGUUUGGUGCCAGCAGCCGCGGUAAUUCCAACUCCAAUAGUGUAUAUUUAAGUUGUUGUAGUUAAAAAGCUCAUAGUUGGACUUUGGGUUAGGUUGACCGGCUUACCUCACGAUGUGCACCGAUUAGCUCCUCCCUUCUAUCGACGAUAUGCUCAGCUGAACUGGCUGAGUUGUGCCUCCAAUGUUGUUACUUUGAAGAAAUUAGAGUGCUCAAAGCAAGCCUACGCUCUAUAUAUAUUAGUAUGGGAUAACAUCAUAGGAUUCUAGUCCUAUUGUGUUGGCCUUCGAGAUCAGAGUAAUGAUUAACAAAGAUAGUCGAGAGCAUUUGUAUUUCAUAGUCAUUGGUGAAAUUCUUGAUUCUUGCAUUUAUGAAAGACGAACAACUACAAAAACAUACCACCGGCCGCGGUGGCUCCGCUGGAUAAGGCCCUGCUGAUCCUCAGCCUAGAGGUGAAGGGUUCAAAACCCAAGGGAGGCGCUAGGUGUAUUAAGUGUGACUCAAGGGUGGUGGGUCCUCCUGCUUAAGUGUCACCUGGGGGUUUACGGCGCGGCUGUCGGUUGCAAGCCGAUUCCUCCAGCACAAAAAAAAAAAAAAACUACAAAAACAUACCACUGCCCUCGGCGGCGCAGUUGGCUCGAGCUCUCUCCCCUUCACGAAGGGGAGAAGUUCGAAUCCCAAAGGCAUCGUUAGAGAUUCUUAUUGUGGUGGUGGGUCCUGCAAUUCCUCCACCAGAGUUUGCUCGUCAGCUGUCGAUUUACGAGGUUCCCUGGGUUACCAAAAAAGAAACAACUACAAAAACAUUUGCCAAUGAUGUUUUCAUUAAUUAAGAACGAAAGUUGGGAGCUCAAAGAUGAUAAGAUACCGUCUUAGUCUCAAUCAUAAAUUAUGCCGACUAGGGAUCGGCGGAUGUUGCUUUUAGGACUUUGCCGGCACCUUAUGAGAAAUCAAAGUUUUUGGGUUCCA